UUAAUUUUUUGCAUCACAAUUUUAAUUUUGACUGAAGAAAACUAUUAAAAUCAUGAUGAUGUGACAUUUGUUGGUCUGUUCCAAACAAACAUGUUUUCUUACACCUGGAGAACUGGAUCUGUAGGCCGGGGUGUCUCUGCAGCACUUCAUUGUAAAGCUGUUCUGUCACACAUUUUACAGCUUCUGCGAUUUGAAUAUUGCACUUGGCCAUAUUGCGAUUUCGUUAAUAUUUCGAUUAAUUGUGCAGCCCUAUUUUUUUAUGUACAUUACGGAAAAUAUAAAAAUAGUUUCCAACAAAAACCUUUUUUAUUUAAACCUGCAAUAACUGUUUUUUUUUUUUUGGCCACUUGAGGACAGCGGAAACAAACUGUGAAUGCAACACUGACAUAUCGCAUUUUAAGUUGAUACGGUGAACUUGUUAGCAAACGGUUGCUUAUUUACACAUCCAGCAGUUACGGAGAAACAUUGUAAUUCAUUUGGAGUGGUGUUUCUGCUGAAUAUAAGUCCAAUAUUCACUCUCCUUUUUAGUUGUUUGGGGGUUUUUUUUGCCACUACCAAGUCACUGAAGUCGAUACCCAGCCCUAUAGAUCACUAACUCUGUUGUUGUUUUGUGCUCCUUACACCAGCGUGCUGUUCUAGAAAGGAGGCAAAACGCCCAGACGUCUUAGAGAAACCUUGAUAUGAGUAAACUUCCAAGCUGUUCCACAAAGGCAACUCAGACCUAAUGUAAAGAGACUCAUUUAAGCUUGGGCUGAUAGCUGCAUUUUCACAAUUUAAGAAAUACUCCUGAGAUGUUGAGUGCAGAUCAGAUCAGAGACAUAGUGCAGACAAGUUUUGUUGCAGGGGUUUCCACCAGGAAACUGGUUAGCAGAGGUGGUAAGCUGGGAUCAAGGCAUCCCUCUAGAGGUACUGCACCCAGAGUAUGCCAGCUGAAUGCACCCCAAAAAAUUACACCUCCCCCACCAGCGUGUAUAUUUAUAAUCAUGAACGAAAGAUCUUAUAUUCGCAGCAUUCUUCCAUCAAGGUAAAAUACGCUGACACGUCAGACCAGGUGACCAAAAUCUUUGGGGCAUUUAGGAGAGGUACCCUCUGUGGUUGUCAGCUGGCGUGACCCCAUAGAGGAAAGAGUGUGGUGCGCUGGUACUUGUACCACAGAACUGCACUGUGAUGUUAACUGUUACGCUGCAGCCUGAACAAUACUUGUUAUGGCCCGAGCCACUGAACGUCACCAGUGCUCCUCUAUGAAGGGCUGCCUCCCACAUGGCAGACGUUCUGAUGAGGUGUCGUGUGUUCUGGUCCAGUUAUUGUGCACAUUUGACACGGAAAAGCCCAGAAACUCUGCUCGUCUUGGUGAUGUACAUACUGGCCGUCUGUCAUCCACAAUCAUGCUUCUAUUCAAAGUCCAUUAGAUCACGCUUAGAGCCCACUCUCGAUAAUCUGUUCACAUGCAGUGCAGGUGUGGAAAUGGAGUUGCACACACAAGUUUAUGCAGUGAUGCACACAAAUGUCAGGGAGGGCCCACUACUUCGGCAAGGGAAGGGUUUCAAUUUUUCUACAGGAAAAGUGCAUUGAGAAAACUUAUAAAUAAGACUGAAUUGAACUGGUGCUUAGUCUAAUAUUCCUGCAAUUCACACCCCAACUUCUGAGGAUUUCUCAUAUUGCUUUGAAGAGCCACAUACAAAGUUAUUGUCACUAAGUUAAUAAUGACUGGUAUGUGUCGCUGGAUUUUACAUGUAGUAUCUUUGCUGCUAUUUUGUCCACUCCAUGUUACAGGCUGAAUGUGACUUGUGCUGUGGCUGUCAACAAGUGUGUGUGUGUGUGUGUGUGUGUGUGUGUGUGUGUAGCUUCUUAUGGGGACGAGUAAAUCUGCCCUGACUCAUCCAGACCUGCUGCGUUGGAGACACACACACACACACACAAUCUGUCCAAAACUGUCAUGUUAAAACCGCUGAUAACGGGGCAAAAAUAGGACAGUGUCAAAACUGCUGCCAGGGAAAAAGAUGAUUACCAAUGGACGUUAUGUAACGUCUGACAUUAGCAGCAAACGUUAUCUACGGGGCACUGAGAUAACGUCAGCUAGGUCAGAUCAGUCAUAUAACAUGGGUUAUUCAUGCGCUAUAAACGCUGGGACUGGAGUGACUGGUUUCUGCUGUCUGGUGGCCAGGCACCCACACAGUGCAAAAUAAAAGACCACUUGUUGAUGAACAACGUUAACGUUAGUUUCAUUACCGUCAACACAGGCUACCAGUUAUUUCCCGGCAGUUUAAAGUCGCAGUGUGGAGCUCAAAUGCUACUGCCGUGUUAGCAUGCGUGUAAACAAUCGAGCAGACAAACAAAUCAAGCAUGCAUUGGCCCAGAAGAAGGGUCACCAGUCUGUUUAAGGGGUAUCACAAACAUUAGCAGCCUGCAGGUUGUCCACAAGGAGGAGCUGUUCGGUUAUUGGCAGACAACCGUCUGGAGGAAAGGAGAAUAAUAGCUGCAGCAGCUUAGACCUGCUGAUGUGCACAUUAAUGUUGCCUCUUACAGCAGUCCCUUCCAACCACAAGAGAGACAGAGUGCCAGUGUGACAACAUGUAGAAAGUCACCAGAGAAGCUGGAUGUCAGACAGACCACUUUGUGGGAAAAAGGACUGCGGUCACACAAUUGUCUAAAAGAACACUAAGCAACAGGAAGAAUACAGGUAUGUUGAGAGGUCAAGUUCUUAGUUUGCAUGCAAGUCAUCAUCUCCACUGUACUAUUCUGGCCAUUACUCAAAAUUUUGUUAUUUGGGUAAUAUAUACAUUACAUUAGGCCUGUUGCGAUAAUUACAUUAUUGACUUAUUGUAUGAUAUAUGAACAUAAUAGUAAAGACUUGACAAGUGUUUUCCUGCCUCAGUCCAUCCCUGCACUAGAGCCCCACCAGCCUCCAUUUAAAAAAAGUAAGUUGUAACACACAUACAAACAUAUCAUUACUCAAAAACUGAUUGACAGCUGUCCAAGACUUCUAUGAAAUGUAUUAAAGGUGUAUUGAACAAACAAUUACAAUUUAAGACUUUAAAUUUAAAUGGGAGGUUUAAAGCCUGUGUACU
Molecule: long non-coding RNA, 3068 nt
Organism: Siniperca chuatsi (mandarin fish)
Lineage: Eukaryota; Metazoa; Chordata; Actinopteri; Centrarchiformes; Sinipercidae
Exons: 4
Source: RefSeq, a predicted model, not a curated record